RNAcentral lists this ribosomal RNA (1203 nucleotides) under metagenome. RNAcentral describes it as "bacterial SSU rRNA". It matches the Rfam family "Bacterial small subunit ribosomal RNA", at positions 8 to 1231 of the family's 1533-position model. The record is from RNAcentral.
AGAGUUUGAUCCUGGCUCAGGAUGAGCGCUGGCGGCGUGCCUAAUACAUGCAAGUCGAACGAGGACAAAUAGAUCUUCGGAUUUAUGAAAUCCUAGUGGCGAACGGGUGAGUAACGCGUUGGUGACCUGCCCCGAAGAGGGUGAUAACAGUUCGAAAGGACUGCUAAUACCCCAUAAGCUCACGAGAGUUAGAGGUCUAGUGAGAAAAGGAGUAAUCCGCUUCGGGAGGGGCCUGCGUCCCAUCAGCUAGUUGGUAGGGUAAAAGCCUACCAAGGCGAUGACGGGUAGGGGACCUGAGAGGGUGGCCCCCCACAAUGGAACUGAAACACGGUCCAUACACCUACGGGUGGCAGCAGUAGGGAAUAUUGCUUAAUGGGCGAAAGCCUGAAGCAGCAACGCCGCGUGUACGAUGAAGGCCUUCGGGUUGUAAAGUACUUUUUGUAGGGAUGAGGAAGGACAGUACCUGCAGAAUAAGCCUCGGCUAACUACGUGCCAGCAGCCGCGGUAAAACGUAGGAGGCGAGCGUUAUCCGGAUUUACUGGGCGUAAAGCGCGUGUAGGCGGAUUGGUAAGUUAGCUGUGAAAGCUCCCGGCUUAACUGGGAGAGGUCGGUUAAUACUGUCAGUCUAGAGUAUGUGAGAGGGAAGUGGAAUUCCGGGUGUAGUGGUGAAAUGCGUAGAUAUCCGGAGGAACACCAGAGGCGAAAGCGGCUUCCUGGCACAUUACUGACGCUCAGACGCGAAAGCUAGGGGAGCAAACGGGAUUAGAGACCCCGGUAGUCCUAGCUGUAAACGAUGUAGACUUGGCGUUGGUGGGGUCAAACCCAUCAGUGCCGGAGCUAACGCAUUAAGUCUACCGCCUGGGGACUACGGCCGCAAGGUUAAAACUCAAAGGAAUUGACGGGGACCCGCACAAGCAGCGGAGCGUGUGGUUUAAUUCGAUGUUACACGAAGAACCUUACCAGGGUUUGACAUGCAAGUGGUAGUGAAGCGAAAGCAGAACGACCCUUCGGGGAGCUUGCACAGGUGCUGCAUGGCUGUCGUCAGCUCGUGUCGUGAGAUGUUCGGUUAAGUCCGCUAACGAGCGCAACCCUCGUCGUGUGUUACAAGUGUCACGCGAGACCGCCGGUCAUAAACCGGAGGAAGGUGGGGAUGACGUCAAGUCAGCAUGGCCUUUAUGUCCUGGGCUACACACACGCUACAAU